AUUGAACGCUGGCGGCAGGCCUAACACAUGCAAGUCGAACGGUAACAGGAAGAAGCUUGCUUCUUUGCUGACGAGUGGCGGACGGGUUGGCAAUGUCUGUGAAACUGCCUGAUGGAGGGGGAUAACUACUGGAAACGGUAGCUAAUACCGCAUAACGUCGCAAGACCAAAAAGGGGGACCUUCCGGCCUCUUGCCUUCGGAUGUGUCCAGAUGGGAUUAGCUAGUAGGGGGGGUAACGCCUCACCUAGGCGACUAUCUCUAGCUGGUCUGAGAGGAUGACCACACACACUGGAACUGAGACGCGGUCCAGACUCAUACGGGAGACAGCAGUGGAAAUAUUGCAAAAGGGGCGAAAGCCUGAUGCAGCAAUGCCGCGUGUAUGAAGAAGGCCUUCGGGUUGUAAAGUACUUUAAGCGGGGAGGAAGGGAGUAAAGUUAAUACCUUUGCUCAUUGACGUUACCCGAAGAAGAAGCACCAGCUAACUCCGU
This 488-nucleotide ribosomal RNA is filed under the name uncultured bacterium. RNAcentral describes it as "partial 16S ribosomal RNA". It matches the Rfam family "Bacterial small subunit ribosomal RNA", at positions 30 to 506 of the family's 1533-position model. The record is from RNAcentral.